UGUCCUGCUGGAGAUCUACCUUGAGCACUACAUUCUGUGGACCAGACCUCCUUCCUCUUGUGUGAGCAAGGGCUGUAUCAUGCUCAAGAACCUGGGAGUUAGAUGAGCAGUGGCCAAGACCAUUCAACAACCCUAUGAGCUGUGCUGAGCCUGUCAUAUGCCGAACUGCCAUUGCAAGAGAGCACUGUUUUGGCAUGAGCCACCGUCCUUUGGUCGCCAAGAUGAUGUCCCUCAGGGUGACCGCUGCAUGAUAUAAAAGACGAGACCUAUCUGUCGUGAUGGUGGCAUUAUCAGGCUGUCUUUGAGUCAUCAGUGAUGUUUCUCCUUCACUGUCUUCAGAUGAGGAGGAAGAGGAGGAAG
Long non-coding RNA from Epinephelus moara (kelp grouper), 360 nucleotides. RefSeq lists it as uncharacterized. NCBI's taxonomy places the organism in Eukaryota, Metazoa, Chordata, Actinopteri, Perciformes, Serranidae. The transcript has 3 exons. The record is from RefSeq and is a predicted model, not a curated record.